This 436-nucleotide ribosomal RNA is filed under the name uncultured bacterium. RNAcentral's name for it is "bacterial SSU rRNA". It matches the Rfam family "Bacterial small subunit ribosomal RNA", at positions 43 to 523 of the family's 1533-position model. The record is from RNAcentral.
CAGGCCUAACACAUGCAAGUCGAACGAGAUCCUUCGGGGUCUAGUGGCGCACGGGUGCGUAACGCGUGGGAAUCUGCCCCCCGGUUCGGGAUAACUCAGCGAAAGUUGAGCUAAUACCGGAUGAUGACGAAAGUCCAAAGAUUUAUCGCCGAGGGAUGAGCCCGCGUAGGAUUAGCUAGUUGGUGGGGUAACGGCCUACCAAGGCGACGAUCAGUAGCUGGUCUGAGAGGAUGAUCAGCCACACUGGGACUGAGACACGGCCCAGACUCCUACGGGAGGCAGCAGUGGGGAAUAUUGGACAAUGGGCGCAAGCCUGAUCCAGCCAUGCCGCGUGAGUGAUGACGGCCUUAGGGUUGUAAAGCUCUUUUCUCCGGGACGAUAAUGACGGUACCGGAGGAAUAAGCCCCGGCUAACUUCGUGCCAGCAGCCGCGGUAA